RNAcentral lists this ribosomal RNA (1442 nucleotides) under uncultured bacterium. Its description in RNAcentral is "16S ribosomal RNA". It matches the Rfam family "Bacterial small subunit ribosomal RNA". The record is from RNAcentral.
GGACGAACGCUGGCGGCGUGCUUAACACAUGCAAGUCGAACGAUGAAGCUGGAGCUUGCUCCGGUGGAUUAGUGGCGAACGGGUGAGUAACACGUGAGAAAUCUGCCCUUGACUCUGGGAUAACUGCGGGAAACUGUAGCUAAUACCGGAUACUUUCCUUGGUGGGCAUCCACUGGGGAAGAAAGAAUUUCGGUCAAGGAUGAUCUCGCGGCCUAUCAGCUUGUUGGUGAGGUAAUGGCUCACCAAGGCGACGACGGGUAGCCGGCCUGAGAGGGUGACCGGCCACACUGGGACUGAGACACGGCCCAGACUCCUACGGGAGGCAGCAGUGGGGAAUAUUGCACAAUGGGCGCAAGCCUGAUGCAGCAACGCCGCGUGAGGGACGAAGGCCUUCGGGUUGUAAACCUCUUUUAGCAGGGAAGAAGCGAAAGUGACGGUACCUGCAGAAAAAGCACCGGCUAACUACGUGCCAGCAGCCGCGGUAAUACGUAGGGUGCAAGCGUUGUCCGGAAUUAUUGGGCGUAAAGAGCUCGUAGGCGGUUUGUCACGUCUGCUGUGAAAUUUCGAGGCUCAACCUCGAACUUGCAGUGGGUACGGGCAGGCUAGAGUGCGGUAGGGGAGAUGGGAAUUCCCUGGUGUAGCGGUGGAAUGCGCAGAUAUCAGGAGGAACACCAAUGGCGAAGGCACAUCUCUGGGCCGUAACUGACGCUGAGGAGCGAAAGCGUGGGGAACAAACAGGAUUAGAUACCCUGGUAGUCCACGCCGUAAACGGUGGGUGCUAGCUGUGGGCCACAUUCCACGUGGUCCGUGACGAAGUUAACACAUUAAGCACCCCGCCUGGGGAGUACGGCCGCAAGGCUAAAACUCAAAGGAAUUGACGGGGGCCCGCACAAGCGGCGGAGCAUGCGGAUUAAUUCGAUGCAACGCGAAGAACCUUACCAAGGCUUGACAUAUAGAGGAAAAGUGCAGAAAUGUACUCCCCGCAAGGUCUCUAUACAGGUGGUGCAUGGUUGUCGUCAGCUCGUGUCGUGAGAUGUUGGGUUAAGUCCCGCAACGAGCGCAACCCUCGUCCUAUGUUGCCAGCACGUAAUGGUGGGAACUCAUGGGAUACUGCCGGGGUCAACUCGGAGGAAGGUGGGGAUGACGUCAAAUCAUCAUGCCCCUUAUGUCUUGGGCUUCACGCAUGCUACAAUGGCCGGUACAGAGGGCUGCAAUACCGUAAGGUGGAGCGAAUCCCAAAAAGCCGGUCUCAGUUCGGAUUGAGGUCUGCAACUCGACCUCAUGAAGUCGGAGUCGCUAGUAAUCGUAGAUCAGCAACGCUACGGUGAAUACGUUCCCGGGCCUUGUACACACCGCCCGUCAAGUCACGAAAGUCGGUAACACCCGAAGCCGGUGGCCUAACCGUAAGGAAGGAGCCGUCGAAGGUGGGAUUGGUGAUUGGG